Molecule: ribosomal RNA, 1740 nt
Filed under: Triticum aestivum (bread wheat)
Lineage: Eukaryota; Viridiplantae; Streptophyta; Magnoliopsida; Poales; Poaceae
Description: partial small subunit ribosomal RNA
Source: RNAcentral
AUGGCUCCCCGCCUGCAUGGGGAUGAGGGGCCCCGCCCGAAGAGGCCGUUGGAGCGCCCUGAGUCCUCUCGCCCUCCGCGCGGCCCUCCCAUGCCGGUUAGGGACGGUGCCCGACGGGGGGCCGACAACCGCCGGCUCGCUGACCGGGAUGACUGGGCCGCUCCCCGCAGAGCUUGGGCGGUCGCUCUCUACCGGCCGCCCCCCACUCGUGAGGGCACCCAUGACGGCCGCCGCGACGCGCGACUCCCUCUGCCUGGUUCCCAGGGGGCGCGACGCCGGGAGGAGGCCGGGCGGCUGCGUGAAGACAACCAGCGACGCAAAGAUGAACUCCACUCUGAGCUGCAGCGCCGGCCUGUGUACUCCGCCCCUAGCCGACCCGGUCCGGAGGUGGGUCAGAGCUCGUGCCAAGGCGCCCGGAGUUCCGCGGGUUCGGAUGACCGUGCUCGGUAUGGAUCUGAGGAGCCGGACAGUGCGGACUUGCUCAAUUGGCAUAGGUCCUCGUCCUGGUCGCCGCGGUACACCCCCCGUUGCACCUCGGAGGAGGCUCCGGGUCCAGUUGGGCCGUCGACAAAGCAGAAGAAGAAGCACUCGGGUGGGCUCAGUGGUCCUACCAUCAUGGAUGGAUCGGGGAGGUCGGCCGUCGGGGAGCCGAAGCAGGAGGCCCCGAUGAUUCCCCCGGCCAGAGCCAGUCGCGCCCGGACCCAUGACGAGACGUUGUGCAUCAACUGUGGGUGUGUCGGUCACUUCCGUUCGGAGUGCUUGGCGCCCUCCCGGUGCCCUACCACUCUUGCCUACCUGGGGUACGGGGUGGAGGGGGGUGGCUUCUACUAUGUGGACGCGACCCUGGAGGACGAACCCGUCCGGCCGCACCUAGCGACGAUCACCCUCGUCCCGGACCAGCAGCCACCGCCGUCGGUUGUGGUUACCGCUGAGAUUAUACGAGCGGAACUGUCAGCGUACAUUGGCGAUUACAGAGACAACGCCUUCUCUUGGAAAGUCACUGAGACAGCAUCGAUGGUCUACUCAGUACCCUUCCCUUCUGCUGAGAUGCUCAAUGUCUGCAGCCACGACCACGUCAAGUGCCCCAUCAACAAGUUCAUGAUCUCAAUCCAGAAGGCUGAUGCUGAGCCGGACACGGUGGCCCCCCUUGCCCAGGUGUGGAUGCUCGUCUACGGGCUCCCGGGUGGGGGCAAGCGCGAGCACAUUCUCAAGGCCAUCUCGGAGCCGGUGGGCAAGAUUCUGACGGUCGAUCUGGAUUCCUUGGAGGGCGAUGGCCCGGCGCGCGUCGAGCUCCUUUGUCAGGCUCCAGCUGAUGUGGACGGACUGUCCCUAAUCUUCUACUUCAGCAAGAACAAGGGCAAGUGUAUCACCUACAAGAUCGACCAAGAUCCACUGGAGGGGCGACCGGAGGACGAGCCGCCAGCACCGCCGCCAGCUCCACCGGCGGCGGGACGGGACAACGAGGAUAGCCAGUCUGUGGACAGCUCCGCGAAGUCGGGGGGUGGGCUUCCGCCGACGGCGUCGACCGAGAGCCGUCGCGCGCCAGUUUCGGCUGGUAUGGAGGGCGCUGGACUGCCGGGUGGCUCCACCCUCACCCUUUCUGUUGUAGCGGCAUCUUCGCUGGUUCCUGAGCUGGAGGAGGAGACCCUGAGUGCUAGGCUGGAUGUUCGCCCGCCGUCCCUGCCGCGCUCCCCUGGGGUGGUGUGCUACUCUCGCUCGCACCGACUCCCCCGUGGCUAG